RNAcentral lists this ribosomal RNA (943 nucleotides) under uncultured bacterium. RNAcentral's name for it is "bacterial SSU rRNA". It matches the Rfam family "Bacterial small subunit ribosomal RNA", at positions 547 to 1502 of the family's 1533-position model. The record is from RNAcentral.
GGAUUUAUUGGGUUUAAAGGGAGCGUAGAUGGAUGUUUAAGUCAGUUGUGAAAGUUUGCGGCUCAACCGUAAAAUUGCAGUUGAUACUGGAUGUCUUGAGUGCAGUUGAGGCAGGCGGAAUUCGUGGUGUAGCGGUGAAAUGCUUAGAUAUCACGAAGAACUCCGAUUGCGAAGGCAGCCUGCUAAGCUGCAACUGACAUUGAGGCUCGAAAGCGUGGGUAUCAAACAGGAUUAGAUACCCUGGUAGUCCACACGGUAAACGAUGAAUACUCGCUGUUUGCGAUAUACGGCAAGCGGCCAAGCGAAAGCGUUAAGUAUUCCACCUGGGGAGUACGCCGGCAACGGUGAAACUCAAAGGAAUUGACGGGGGCCCGCACAAGCGGAGGAACAUGUGGUUUAAUUCGAUGAUACGCGAGGAACCUUACCCGGGCUUAAAUUGCACUCGAAUGAUCCGGAAACGGUUCAGCUAGCAAUAGCGAGUGUGAAGGUGCUGCAUGGUUGUCGUCAGCUCGUGCCGUGAGGUGUCGGCUUAAGUGCCAUAACGAGCGCAACCCUUGUUGUCAGUUACUAACAGGUGAUGCUGAGGACUCUGACAAGACUGCCAUCGUAAGAUGUGAGGAAGGUGGGGAUGACGUCAAAUCAGCACGGCCCUUACGUCCGGGGCUACACACGUGUUACAAUGGGGGGUACAGAGGGCCGCUACCACGCGAGUGGAUGCCAAUCCCUAAAACCCCUCUCAGUUCGGACUGGAGUCUGCAACCCGACUCCACGAAGCUGGAUUCGCUAGUAAUCGCGCAUCAGCCACGGCGCGGUGAAUACGUUCCCGGGCCUUGUACACACCGCCCGUCAAGCCAUGGGAGCCGGGGGUACCUGAAGUGCGUAACCGCGAGGAUCGUCCUAGGGUAAAACUGGUGACUGGAGCGAAGUCGUAACAAGGUAGCCG